Molecule: unclassified non-coding RNA, 872 nt
Filed under: Hevea brasiliensis (rubber tree)
Lineage: Eukaryota; Viridiplantae; Streptophyta; Magnoliopsida; Malpighiales; Euphorbiaceae
Source: RNAcentral
AUGUGGCUUUAGUUUUUCUCAUUUCAAUUCAUUCUUCUGUUCAAACUUUGAAUUUCCCUCAGCAUUAGAUGUUUAGUCAAGAUAGCAUUUUUUUAGACGCUCUUGAUUCAAAAGAUUAGAUAUUUGCAAUUGAUUUGGUGUUAACUCUCUUUAUCCUUUUCAUGAUCAGGUGCCUUCAUAAGAUCAAACUCCAUUAGUGCUUGAAAAUAAAAUCUAUGGGUUUAUCGCUUUCGUUACUCUAUUCAGCCUGGGAAGAAAUCGUACGACACAGCAUCUUUCGUUUAAUCUACAACUUUGGUUUCAGUUCUAAGCAUGGUGGUAUCCCCCUGAGAGCAGAUAGCUUCAAGAAAUCAGAUACAGAAACCAUGACCAACUCAUUCAAGUCCAAUACAAGAAGCAGCAAAAAUUCUAUAAACCUGAAGAAUUGCAGACCCGAUAAUGUAGUGCUUGACAGGAAUUUAUCAUUCAAAAGUCUAGUUCAAGACAAAGGCAACUCGGUUUCAGAUAUAGAUAGAUCGCUGAAUAAAACAAUGCCAGCGCUUUCCCUUCCAGAACCGGCCAUUUUGUUUUCGCCGAGGCCGGUUAGUGAGCUUGAUGCUGCUGCAGUUAAACUUCAAAAGGUUUACAAGAGUUACAGAACUAGAAGAAACCUUGCAGAUUGUGCAGUUGUUGUUGAGGAGCUCUGGUGGAAGGCUUUAGACUUUGCAGCUCUCAAGAGAAGUUCUGUAUCAUUCUUUAAUGUUGAGAAACCUGAAACUGCUGUUUCGAGGUGGGCAAGGGCAAGGACAAGGGCAGCCAAGGUGGGAAAAGGUUUAUCCAAGAAUGAUAAGGCUCAGAAAUUAGCCCUACAACACUGGCUUGAAGCUAUUGAU